This 997-nucleotide long non-coding RNA is filed under the name Rattus norvegicus (Norway rat). RNAcentral describes it as "long non-coding RNA NONRATT023670". Lineage: Eukaryota; Metazoa; Chordata; Mammalia; Rodentia; Muridae. The record is from RNAcentral.
CUUUCCUCGGUAUGGAUCCUUGUGCACCUCUUAGAGAAGAACGAAACACCAGAUACUUUUGAGCCUUUUAACAACACUGCAGCAGACUUGAGGACUUUUCUCUCACCAGCCACAGAGGCACAGAGCCACUUGCAGGGUCUGAGUUUUACUGGCCGCAGCACAAGCUGCCCUAAGACACCUGCGUGUACUGGGGCCGUUUGUACCAUUAGCCUGUCUGCUCUGUCUGAGAGUCUUCAUGCAGGCGUAAUUCAGCCAUCAAGUCCUCUUACCAGAAAAAACCUUCUGGAGGCACCACCCCUUGGAGCAAAAGGGACCCGCUUCCAGAGAAAGUGCCUGGACCUCACUGGUGUCAGUUCAGAGACCGCACUUUAAGGACUGACCAGAAGGAAGCUCAGGCUCUGGCCUGUCCCUUCCUCUAUUUGGUACUUGUCAUCCUAGGUCCUUUCUUUUUAUUUUGAGACAAGAUCUUAUUCUGUGGCUUAGGCUGGCCUGCAAACUCCCAUCUCGGCCUCCCAAGUGCUGGCCCUUAUUUUAAAGUGAACUUAAAGAAAUGGGGGAAUUUAUUCAUUCCAUGGUCUGAGCUGUAACCAGAAUCCAAGUGAUCACUUGAGUGCAUUUCCUGUGUACAAACCAAGAAAAAGGCCUUAAUAUUAAAUAACGCCAGUUUGGUAGAGAACUGACUCAGAGGGUAGACUAUUAUAUGUUCCUUGUACCAAAUGAUAUUGUAAACCACUUCAGCCUGUGGGAGCACCGUGUGGGAGCACCUGUGGGAGCACUGUGUGCUACAGGUGCGCGUGCCUCUAGACAGAGCCCUCUCCUUGGUGCUCUUGACCCUCCUUACUGCACAGUCCCUCUCUACAGCAUUAGCCCCUCCCACCUCCCGACAGCGAACACCUCACUUGUCUUUCCAUUCCAUGUUGGAGCCAGCGUGGUUGGUGCCUGUGUUUUCUAGUCAGGCCUCCCCGUUUGCAUUUGGGUGCUGGUUUGCUUAUUGUCU